Molecule: ribosomal RNA, 419 nt
Filed under: uncultured bacterium
Lineage: Bacteria
Description: bacterial SSU rRNA
Rfam family: Bacterial small subunit ribosomal RNA
Source: RNAcentral
UAAGGAAUAUUGGUCAAUGGACGCAAGUCUGAACCAGCCAUGCCGCGUGAAGGAUGAAGGUCCUCUGGAUUGUAAACUUCUUUUAUCUGGGACGAAAACGGGAUUUUUAUCUCAAUUGACGGUACCAGAGGAAUAAGCACCGGCUAACUCCGUGCCAGCAGCCGCGGUAAUACGGAGGGUGCGAGCGUUAUCCGGAUUUACUGGGUUUAAAGGGUGCGUAGGUGGGCUUAUAAGUCAGUGGUGAAAUCUCCGAGCUUAACUUGGAAACUGCCGUUGAUACUAUAGGUCUUGAAUUAUCUGGAGGUAAGCGGAAUAUGUCAUGUAGCGGUGAAACGCUUAGAUAUGACAUAGAACACCAAUUGCGAAGGCAGCUUACUACAUAUAAAUUGACGCUGAGGCACGAAAGCGUGGGGAUCAAA